RNAcentral lists this ribosomal RNA (443 nucleotides) under uncultured bacterium. RNAcentral describes it as "bacterial SSU rRNA". It matches the Rfam family "Bacterial small subunit ribosomal RNA", at positions 958 to 1398 of the family's 1533-position model. The record is from RNAcentral.
AACGCGAAGAACCUUACCAGCCCUUGACAUCCCGGUCGCGGGAACGAGAGAUCGAUCCCUUCAGUUCGGCUGGACCGGAGACAGGUGCUGCAUGGCUGUCGUCAGCUCGUGUCGUGAGAUGUUGGGUUAAGUCCCGCAACGAGCGCAACCCUUGUCCUGUGUUACCAUGCCGAAAGGCGGCACUCGCAGGAGACCGCCAGCGAUAAGCUGGAGGAAGGUGGGGAUGACGUCAAGUCCUCAUGGCCUUUAUGUCCAGGGCUACACACGUGCUACAAUGGGCGGUACAAAGCGCUGCUAAGCCGCAAGGCGGAGCCAAUCGCAAAAAGCCGCUCUCAGUUCGGAUUGCAGGCUGCAACUCGCCUGCAUGAAGCUGGAAUCGCUAGUAAUGCUAUAUCAGAACGAUAGCGUGAAUACGUUCCCGGGCCUUGUACACACCGCGCAUA